This 637-nucleotide ribosomal RNA is filed under the name uncultured bacterium. RNAcentral describes it as "bacterial SSU rRNA". It matches the Rfam family "Bacterial small subunit ribosomal RNA", at positions 749 to 1385 of the family's 1533-position model. The record is from RNAcentral.
AGGCACGAAAGCGUGGGGAGCAAACAGGAUUAGAUACCCUGGUAGUCCACGCUGUAAACGAUGGUUACUAUACGUUUGUCACUGUGGUGAUGAGUGUAUAAGCGCAAGCGAUAAGUAACCCACCUGGGGAGUACGUUCGCAAGGAUGAAACUCAAAGGAAUUGACGGGGGCCCGCACAAGCGGUGGAGCAUGUGGUUUAAUUCGACGAUACGCGAGGAACCUUACCUAGGCUAGAAUGUGAGUGCCACCUGUGGAGACAUGGGGAUUUAUCGAGAGAUGACACGAAACAAGGUGCUGCAUGGUUGUCGUCAGCUCGUGCCGUGAGGUGUUGGGUUAAGUCCCGCAACGAGCGCAACCCUUGUAUUUAUUUACCAGUAUUGAGUUAGGUACUAUAAAUAGACUGCCGGCGUAAGCUGUGAGGAAGGUGGGGACGACGUCAAAUCAUCAUGGCCCUUACGCCUAGGGCUACACACGUGCUACAAUGGUAAGUACAAAGAGAUGCGAAGCAGCGAUGCGGAGCGGAUCUCAAAAAGCUUAUCUCAGUUCGGAUUGUAGUCUGCAACUCGACUACGUGAAGCUGGAAUCGCUAGUAAUCGCGGAUCAUCAUGCUGCGGUGAAUACGUUCCCGGGCCUUGUA